GAUGAAGAACGCAGUGAAAUGCGAUAAGUAAUGUGAAUUGCAGAAUUCAGUGAAUCAUCGAAUCUUUGAACGCACAUUGCGCCCCUUGGUAUUCCGGGGGGCAUGCCUGUUCGAGCGUCAUUUCAACCCUCAAGCUCUGCUUGGUAUUGGGCACCGUCCUUUGCGGGCGCGCCUCAAAGACCUCGGCGGUGGCGUCUUGCCUCAAGCGUAGUAGAAUACACCUCGCUUCGGAGCGUAAGGCGUCGCCCGCCGGACGAACCUUCUGAACUUUUCUCAAGGUUGACCUCGGAUCAGGUAGGGAUACCCGCUGAACUUAAGCAUAUCAAUAAGCGGAGGA
Molecule: unclassified non-coding RNA, 337 nt
Filed under: soil metagenome
Description: partial contains 5.8S ribosomal RNA, internal transcribed spacer 2, and large subunit ribosomal RNA
Rfam family: 5.8S ribosomal RNA (bases 1-120)
Source: RNAcentral